Molecule: ribosomal RNA, 918 nt
Filed under: Salmonella enterica
Lineage: Bacteria; Pseudomonadati; Pseudomonadota; Gammaproteobacteria; Enterobacterales; Enterobacteriaceae
Description: partial 23S ribosomal RNA
Rfam family: Bacterial large subunit ribosomal RNA
Source: RNAcentral
AGGCUGUCUCCACCCGAGACUCAGUGAAAUUGAACUCGCUGUGAAGAUGCAGUGUACCCGCGGCAAGACGGAAAGACCCCGUGAACCUUUACUAUAGCUUGACACUGAACAUUGAGCCUUGAUGUGUAGGAUAGGUGGGAGGCUUUGAAGUGUGGACGCCAGUCUGCAUGGAGCCGGCCUUGAAAUACCACCCUUUAAUGUUUGAUGUUCUAACGUGGACCCGUGAUCCGGGUUGCGGACAGUGUCUGGUGGGUAGUUUGACUGGGGCGGUCUCCUCCUAAAGAGUAACGGAGGAGCACGAAGGUUGGCUAAUCCUGGUCGGACAUCAGGAGGUUAGUGCAAUGGCAUAAGCCAGCUUGACUGCGAGCGUGACGGCGCGAGCAGGUGCGAAAGCAGGUCAUAGUGAUCCGGUGGUUCUGAAUGGAAGGGCCAUCGCUCAACGGAUAAAAGGUACUCCGGGGAUAACAGGCUGAUACCGCCCAAGAGUUCAUAUCGACGGCGGUGUUUGGCACCUCGAUGUCGGCUCAUCACAUCCUGGGGCUGAAGUAGGUCCCAAGGGUAUGGCUGUUCGCCAUUUAAAGUGGUACGCGAGCUGGGUUUAGAACGUCGUGAGACAGUUCGGUCCCUAUCUGCCGUGGGCGCUGGAGAACUGAGGGGGGCUGCUCCUAGUACGAGAGGACCGGAGUGGACGCAUCACUGGUGUUCGGGUUGUCAUGCCAAUGGCACUGCCCGGUAGCUAAAUGCGGAAGAGAUAAGUGCUGAAAGCAUCUAAGCACGAAACUUGCCCCGAGAUGAGUUCUCCCUGAGACUUUAGGUCUCCUGAAGGAACGUUGAAGACGACGACGUUGAUAGGCCGGGUGUGUAAGCGCAGCGAUGCGUUGAGCUAACCGGUACUAAUGAACCGUGAGGCUUAACCUU